Molecule: ribosomal RNA, 450 nt
Filed under: uncultured bacterium
Lineage: Bacteria
Description: partial 16S ribosomal RNA
Rfam family: Bacterial small subunit ribosomal RNA
Source: RNAcentral
GUGGGGAAUUUUGGACAAUGGGCGCAAGCCUGAUCCAGCAAUGCCGCGUGCAGGAAGAAGGCCUUCGGGUUGUAAACUGCUUUUGUACGGAACGAAACGGUCCUGGUUAAUACCCGGGGCUAAUGACGGUACCGUAAGAAUAAGCACCGGCUAACUACGUGCCAGCAGCCGCGGUAAUACGUAGGGUGCAAGCGUUAAUCGGAAUUACUGGGCGUAAAGCGUGCGCAGGCGGUGCUGUAAGACAGGCGUGAAAUCCCCGGGCUUAACCUGGGAAUUGCGCUUGGGACUGCAGUGCUGGAGUGCGGCAGAGGGGGAUGGAAUUCCGCGUGUAGCAGUGAAAUGCGUAGAUAUGCGGAGGAACACCGAUGGCGAAGGCAAUCCCCUGGGCCUGCACUGACGCUCAUGCACGAAGGCCAGGGGAGCGAACGGGAUUAGAUACCCGGGUAGUCC